CUCCAGCUUGCCCACAAUGACGCGAUAACCCUCUGGCGUAGCGGCUGGCAAUGGAACUAUGGACCUGCAAAUGAUAACUAGACUUUCAACUCAAAAAUUAAUCGAGCUGCUAUUUUGUGUUAGUUUCCGAGCUGUGAGCACAAGCCUUAGCUACCCCAUAUGCAAUGCGGGUGCAGGUAUCAGAUAUGUCGGCACAACGAAAGCCCAGCCGAUUCGACUGUAACGUACCGGGAAUGGGAAUGGCGGGCAUUGAGACCGAGACAAAGGGAAGAGCCCAGCGAGCGAGUGAUAAAGCGACCUUUUAGGGGAGCCUAUGAGGAUCACAAAAGACGUUGAAGAAACGCGAGGCGAAACGAAGAAGAGGCAAAAAGCAUUAACGCAUUUUGAAAUAAUUGAAACGGCAGUCAGGACGAAAGUCAGCCGCAGACUCGAAGUCAUAGUCAGAGUCAGAGUCGGAGUCGGGAGAACGGAGACGGGACUCAGGGUCUGUUGUGGCAUGGCAAACAAAGGGCAUGGCCAGCGUUUGUUUGUGCGCAGCGGUGCGUCGCCGAAAUCCUUGAGACGUGCAGCAGAUACACCUGAUGAUGACUACACCGACACCUGAGCCAUUGCCAGCCAGCUAACCUCAGCGUGCCUCGAGAGGCACACUGGAAAAGAAAUGAUAAUUAGAUGGUCUAGCAACCCUCCUAGCCAGCUGCUGAGACAGCUGCGCCAGCAGAGGGGAAGCGAACACUUGACAGCAGAAACAAAGUGCAGAAGGACCAGAAAACCAGAACUGAAAUGCGAUUGUCGCAAUCCCUAUCGUGGGAGGGGGGGUGCUGGGGGUCUUAAGGCAGCGACAGCAGGGGUAUGUCGGCAUGGCGACUGGCAAUUAUGAGUCCAAUGCCGGAUGGUGAAAUUAUAUUGUACAAAAAUUGGGAGCAGAAGAGAAAGCAUUAAGGAAACAAAACGCAGCGAGAGACCCGCUCAAGAUUUAAGUGGUGCCCCACAGUCAGGAGCCAGUCGCCAAGUGUUGAAGGCGAGUGAGUGGCAUGCAUAAAGGAAACUGACAAUUGAUACAUUCAUAAAACUACAUAACUACACACACACACACACACACAUCCACAGGGAAAGAGAGAGAGAGCGAGAUAUGUGCAUAUUAAUUUAAAUGAAGAAAAAGUGGAAAUUAUCCGCUUGAUAGAUGCCAGGCAAUUAAGAAGGAAGAAAGGGAAGCUGAAUUGAACAAAUGUGCCCAUCAAUUCACUUUCCCAUUCAAAGGACCCGCACAAUCGCACUAAUAAACAUACAAAACCAAAAGGAACCACAUUUAUGGACCUGUUUGCUCCAACUUGAAGCGCGCCAAGUUUUUAUCCAGAUCUGUCAAGUAGUUUCAUUUGAACUCGAAACUGUACACGAAAACCCAAAAAGGAGAACACGGUCCACACACAAAAAGUAACGUACAAAAGGUAAGUGCGGCAAUCUGUGAUGGUGGCGAGGACGAAAGGAUUGCGCAAAGGCAAACACAUAAAAUUGGAUAAACAAGGCUUCGUCAUGGUAUGCCUGAGUGUGCGAGUGUGCCAGUGUGUUUGUGUGUGUGUGUGUGUGUGUGUGUGUGGUGUGUGUGUUUGCUCACAAGUAUCCCUUUUUUCGUGGGAGCCGCGUUGCAACAGGCAACGACCAGGCAACAGGUAGAGGAGACCACAAACUGGUUUCGCCAGAUUCCAAGUCCAUGCGGCAAAGGAGCGGCCCGACUUUCUGGCUAUGCCCGAGACGGGAACUGGGCUGAGACUGGGACUGAGACUGGGACUGGCAACUGGCAACUGGUGACUGCUGACUGGCGACCGGCGACCGGCGACUGUGAGUGGCAUACAAAGCAGAACCAGUUUGAUCCUCUGGCCUGCCGAUGAGUUGGCGUAAAAGCAAUUUUAAUGUCCUUCUACCCAAGUCCAUAAAGUCUUGAAUAAUCGCCCAAGACGUGUGUACGUGCGUGGAGGAUAUGCGCAACAGAGUCCCAGUGCCAGAGUCAAGGUCCAGGCCCCCACGCUGCCUGGCCCCCUGCCACUGCACCGAUCCCCCGACCCCUGCUCCUGGCUGCUGCUAGUGGUGGUAGCCGAUUUGUUUGCUGUGCCGCGCACUUGGUCUGCCUGGCUUUGUUCACUUGACUCUCUCUCUCUCUCCCGCUCUCUCUCUUUCUAUCUCCUCCCCCUUCCCUGUGUCUCUCUCUCUCUCUCUCUCUCUGUUUGGCUACAGACUGAGACUUGUUGCAGGGCACGUCCCUUGCCACGAUCCUUUACACUGACAGCGUUUGUGGUGCUGACUGUACCUCCACUGCAAACUGGAGCUAGGCUCCAGCCAGUCAAGUGCGCUACCUUUCUAUUUGUGCUAGA
Long non-coding RNA from Drosophila virilis, 2366 nucleotides. RefSeq lists it as uncharacterized. Lineage: Eukaryota; Metazoa; Arthropoda; Insecta; Diptera; Drosophilidae. The record is from RefSeq and is a predicted model, not a curated record.